GACGAACGCUGGCGGCGUGCCUAACACAUGCAAGUCGAGCGGGGUUGAAGCGAGAGGUAACUCGAACUUCUACCUAGCGGCGGACGGGUGAGUAACGCGUGGGCAACCUGCCUCAAGGUCUGGGAUAACAGCCCGAAAGGGCUGCUAAUACCGGGUAUGCUUGUGGCCUCGCAUGGGGCUACGAGCAAAGGGGAAACCCGCCUUGAGAUGGGCCCGCGUCCCAUCAGCUAGUUGGUGAGGUAACAGCUCACCAAGGCGACGACGGGUAGCCGGCCUGAGAGGGUGACCGGCCACACUGGGACUGAGACACGGCCCAGACUCCUACGGGGGCAGCAGUGGGGGAUCUUGCACAAUGGGCGAAAGCCUGAUGCAGCGACGCCGCGUGAGCGAAGAAGGCCUGGUUGUAAAGCUCUGUCUGGAGGGACGAAGGAAGUGACGGUACCUCCGGAGGAAGCCACGGACUAACUACGUGCCAGGAGCCGGCGGUAAUCUCGUCUCUA
This 500-nucleotide ribosomal RNA is filed under the name uncultured bacterium. RNAcentral describes it as "bacterial SSU rRNA". It matches the Rfam family "Bacterial small subunit ribosomal RNA", at positions 28 to 533 of the family's 1533-position model. The record is from RNAcentral.